CUAUGGCCAAACCACCCUGUAUGUACCCAAUUUCAUAUGAUCUUGGAAGCUAAGCAGGGUUGAGCUUGGUCAGUACUUGGAUAAUCUAACAAUAAAGGGCCUAAUAAA
This is a ribosomal RNA of Ochotona princeps (American pika), 108 nucleotides long. The record is from Ensembl. NCBI's taxonomy places the organism in Eukaryota, Metazoa, Chordata, Mammalia, Lagomorpha, Ochotonidae.